Molecule: ribosomal RNA, 481 nt
Filed under: uncultured bacterium
Lineage: Bacteria
Description: bacterial SSU rRNA
Rfam family: Bacterial small subunit ribosomal RNA
Source: RNAcentral
UGGCUAACUCCUACGGGAGGCAGCAGUGGGGAAUUUUGGACAAUGGGGGCAACCCUGAUCCAGCAAUGCCGCGUGAGUGAAGAAGGCUUUCGGGUUGUAAAGCUCUUUUGUCAGGGAAGAAACGGUAGUAGCUAAUAUCUAUUACUAAUGACGGUACCUGAAGAAUAAGAACCGGCUAAGUACGUGCCAGCAGCCGCGGUAAUACGUAGGGUGCAAGCGUUAAUCGGAGUUACUGGGCGUAAAGCGUGCGCAGGCGGUUGUGUAAGUCAGAUGUGAAAUCCCCGGGCUCAACCUGGGAAUUGCAUUUGAGACUGCGCGGCUAGAGUGUGUCAGAGGGGGGUAGAAUUCCACGUGUAGCAGUGAAAUGCGUAGAUAUGUGGGGGAAUACCGAUGGCGAGGGCAGCCCCCUGGGAUAACACUGACGCUCAUGCACGAAAGCGUGGGGAGCGAACAGGAUUAGAAACCCGUGUAGUCCAGCUGG